UAAGGAAUAUUGCGCAAUGGGGGAAACCCUGACGCAGCAACGCCGCGUGGAGGAUGACACUUUUCGGAGCGUAAACUCCUUUUAUCAGGAAAGAAUAAUGACGGUACCUGAUGAAUAAGCACCGGCUAACUCCGUGCCAGCAGCCGCGGUAAUACGGGGGUUGCAAGCGUUACUCGGAAUCACUGGGCGUAAAGGACGCGUAGGCGGAUUAUCAAGUCUUUUGUGAAAUCUAGUGGCUUAACCACUAAACUGCUUAGGAAACUGAUAGUCGAGAGUAGGGGAGAGGUAGAUGGAAUUCUUGGUGUAGGGGUAAAAUCCGUAGAGAUCAAGAAGAAUACCCAUUGCGAAAGCGAUCUGCUGGAACCUAACUGACGCUGAGGCGUGAAAGCGUGGGUAGCAAACAGG
RNAcentral lists this ribosomal RNA (405 nucleotides) under bacterium. RNAcentral's name for it is "partial 16S ribosomal RNA". It matches the Rfam family "Bacterial small subunit ribosomal RNA", at positions 355 to 776 of the family's 1533-position model. The record is from RNAcentral.